RNAcentral lists this ribosomal RNA (484 nucleotides) under uncultured bacterium. RNAcentral describes it as "partial 16S ribosomal RNA". It matches the Rfam family "Bacterial small subunit ribosomal RNA", at positions 30 to 507 of the family's 1533-position model. The record is from RNAcentral.
AUUGAACGCUGGCGGCAGGCCUAACACAUGCAAGUCGAGCGGAUGAAGGGAGCUUGCUCCUGGAUUCAGCGGCGGACGGGUGAGUAAUGCCUAGGAAUCUGCCUGGUAGUGGGGGAUAACGUCCGGAAACGGGCGCUAAUACCGCAUACGUCCUGAGGGAGAAAGUGGGGGAUCUUCGGACCUCACGCUAUCAGAUGAGCCUAGGUCGGAUUAGCUAGUUGGUGGGGUAAAGGCCUACCAAGGCGACGAUCCGUAACUGGUCUGAGAGGAUGAUCAGUCACACUGGAACUGAGACACGGUCCAGACUCUUACGGGAGGCAGCAGUGGGGAAUAUUGGACAAUGGGCGAAAGCCUGAUCCAGCCAUGCCGCGUGCGUGAAGAAGGUCUUCGGAUUGUAAAGCACUUUAAGUUGGGAGGAAGGGCAGUAAGUUAAUACCUUGCUGUUUUGACGUUACCAACAGAAUAAGCACCGGCUAACUUCGUG